UGGGGAAUAUUGGACAAUGGGCGAAAGCCUGAUCCAGCGACGCCGCGUGGGUGAAGAAGGCCUGCGGGUUGUAAAGCCCUUUCGGUGGGGAUGAAAAGCCUCGAUCUAACACAUCGGGGUCUUGACCUAACCCAAGAAAGAAGCACCGGCUAACUCUGUGCCAGCAGCCGCGGUAAUACAGAGGGUGCGAGCGUUAAUCGGAAUUACUGGGCGUAAAGCGCGCGUAGGUGGCUAUGCAAGUCGGGUGUGAAAUCCCCGGGCUCAACCUGGGAACUGCAUUCGAGACUGCAUUGCUUGAGUAUGGGAGAGGGAAGUGGAAUUUCCGGUGUAGCGGUGAAAUGCGUAGAUAUCGGAAGGAACAUCAGUGGCGAAAGCGACUUCCUGGACCAAUACUGACACUCAAGUGCGAAAGCGUGGGGAGCAAACAGGAUUAGAUACCCCCGUAGUCC
This 449-nucleotide ribosomal RNA is filed under the name uncultured bacterium. Its description in RNAcentral is "bacterial SSU rRNA". It matches the Rfam family "Bacterial small subunit ribosomal RNA", at positions 355 to 796 of the family's 1533-position model. The record is from RNAcentral.